GCCCGGAUAGCUCAGUUGGUAGAGCACCUCCAUGGUAAGGAGAAGGUCGGCGGUUCAACUCCGCCUUCGGGCU
Molecule: transfer RNA, 73 nt
Filed under: Deltaproteobacteria bacterium RIFCSPHIGHO2_02_FULL_40_28
Lineage: Bacteria; Deltaproteobacteria
Also listed under: 3 other names
Description: tRNA-Thr
Rfam family: tRNA
About the family: Transfer RNA (tRNA) molecules are approximately 80 nucleotides in length. Their secondary structure includes four short double-helical elements and three loops (D, anti-codon, and T loops).
Source: RNAcentral